Molecule: ribosomal RNA, 253 nt
Filed under: uncultured bacterium
Lineage: Bacteria
Description: partial 16S ribosomal RNA
Rfam family: Bacterial small subunit ribosomal RNA
Source: RNAcentral
UACAGAGGGUGCAAGCGUUAAUCGGAAUUACUGGGCGUAAAGCGUGCGCAGACGGUUGCGUAAGUCUGAUGUGAAAGCCCUGGGCUCAACCUGGGAAUUGCAUUGGAUACUGGCAGGCUAGAGUGCGGUAGAGGAUGGCGGAAUUCCCGGUGUAGCAGUGAAAUGCGUAGAGAUCGGGAGGAACAUCUGUGGCGAAGGCGGCCAUCUGGACCAGCACUGACACUGAGGCACGAAAGCGUGGGGAGCAAACAGG